GAAUCAUCCGGUUGAUUAUGGCCUCUGCCUCUACAAGCAUUCCCUCUUUACAAUGUGCAUCCACCAGAAUAUUGAAGGUUUGAACAUUCGGCAUGACUCUGCUUUGCACCAUAUGACUCAGCAGUCUUUGGGACUCUUUCAAUUGGCCGGAAUUGCACACUCCUUGAAUGACAGAGGUAUAAGUAACGACAUCCGGUUCAAUUCCUGCCUCCAUCAUCUUCUCCAUCCAGACCGUCGCAUCUUUCCAUUGGCCUAGCUUGCACAAGUAAUGAACCAAGGAGUUAUAAGUGAAUAUGUCGGGUUGGAUGCCUCCGCUUGUCAUCUCUUUCAACAAUAUGAGAGCAUCUUCCAUCUGGCCUACAUCGCACAGACCGUGGAUCAAGGUGUUAUAAGUAACAACAUUUGGUUUGACGCCUUUCUUGCUCAUAAUGCCGUGGAGUCUCAACGCCUCUGUGAUCAAUCCCUCCUUGCAAAGACCAUCAAUUACUAUGCCGUAUGCAAAGGAACCGAGCCUGCAGCUUCUCUCUUCCCAGUCCCUCAGCAAUUCAAUUGCCAAUCCGGUGUUACCUGCCUUGCAUAACCCCUUGGCAAUUAUCGCAUACGUGGUCUCAUCAGGUUCGGGGCCAUUUCGUCCCAUAUCAUCGAGGAACCUCAAGGCUUGAUCAGUUUUGCCCUGAAUAAAGAGACCGUCAAUCAGGGUGCUCGACGUCACCACAGUGAUGGGAAACCCAAGCUUGAAGAUUCUGCCCAGAAUAGACAAACCCAAAUCAACCCGCCUUAACCGGCAGAAGCAAUUCAUCCAAAUAGUGAGCAACACAACAUCAUCCUCGACCCCCAAAGAAGGCAGCCGCUCAAUCAAGCGGAUGGCAGUCGAGUAGUGCUUCAUCCUCACUAUAGCGCCCAACAGUAGAUUGAAAUCCCUGGAGGAAGGCAAAGGGCUCGCCUUUAUCAUUUUACCGAAGCAACACAGGGCAUCACCGACACUCGUAAACAAACCACCACCAGCUCUGCAAUUUCUCCUCACGUAACUCAAGACCUGGUUGGGAUCGUCUAAAUUAGGGUUAGGGGUCGAGGAAAACCUCCGACGACGGGGAGACGAGAAAGGGAGAUGAGAAGGAUGAGGGAGAUGGAGGAUGGAAUGGGAUGACGACUCGCUGGAGAACGCAGCUGGAGCACGAAGAAGGAGGAAGAUGGAAGAAGCAGGGCAGACAUUCUUUGGCUUCAUCGGUUGAUGAUGAAUCUGAAAGCUGAAAAGCUUCAGCUUAUGGCUCUCUCUCUAUCAAGCUUUCAUAUUCGGGCUUGGCUCUACCGUUUCUUGGUUAUGAUAUCGAACAGAAAGAUGUAGAUCUGGAUAGGACAUGAUUUCAAAUGAUUUCGCAUCAUUAUUUACUGACAAUACGAAUAUUUCUUUUAUCCAUUUUUUUAAUAAGUGAUACAAUUAAUCGCAAAAUCAGAUUUUCAUUUUUUUGUUAGUAGUGACUCAUGCGCACAGUUUUACUUCUCCAACUAAUUGAGAUUUACCAGAUCAUUGAACAUAUUGAUAAACAGUGUGAUAACUUGAUGAGGAGCAUCUAACAAUAUAUUUCAAUCCGCUUAACUUGUAUCUACGACUACGUAUGUUUGUACGGAUGAAUAAAUUAUAGCAUGUAAUGUGGAAUUUAACUCAUUUCAUGUCCCGAUCCAACAAUUGAAAUUUGAUUUAACAAAUAUUUCUGACUCAAUCAUUCCUAAUUUCACUACAAGGCCUUGAGCAUUCUGCUUCAUAAACCGCAAUCCUUCUUAGAAAUAUAAUUGUCCAAGGACCUAAACAAUAAUACCAGAGAUGAUUCACAAGCUAAAAAGAGAGAGAGGGAAACAACAAUCCUUCUUAGAAAUAUAAUUGUCCAAGGACCUAACUAAUAAUGCCGAAGACGAUUCAUGAGCUAGCAAGAGAGAGAGAAAGAGAGAGAGAGAGAGCAUGAGUAGUGAUGGGCUAUGGCGUUAAAAUUUGACGCACAAUCACAAGAAAAUAAAUUAAAAGCGAGAAGGAGAAAUUGAAACACAAAAUUUAUCCCAAAUUGCUCCUAAACUAGGAGUACAUUUAGCAAAUAACUCUACUAUAAUUAGCAUAUUGCAUCUUUAUGUUACAAUUUUCAAUUACAAGAGAAAGAAAUUAUAUAUGCUCGGUAACUAUUCAUGAGCUUAAGCCUAAACUGCUAAUAAAUAUGAACUCAAAUUAUAAAAAUCUCCAAACUCUUGUGUGCAUUCCUGUUAAUUGGGAGUAUGAAUCACUUCCCCAAUAUAUCAUAUAGUAUGGAAGUUGUUGUUAGAGAAGCAAAAGUGGCAAAAAAUAGGGAUGGAUUUGAGUGGGGCAUAGAGCAGGAGAGAAGCAAUGGCGGAUUUAUCUUAUAUCAUCAUUUAGCGACAAUACAAAUAUUUUUUAUAAAUUUUUUUUAUAAAUGAUACAAAUGACCAUUUUCACGAGCUAAACAGAGGGAAAGAACAUGAGCAGUAACGAGCUAUGGUGUAAGGAUUCGACGCACAAUUACAAAAAAAAAAAAAAAAGAGCGAGGAAAAGAAAUUGAAACACAAACCACCGCCCGUGGUGGCCGCAGUGGUUUCGCGCUCUCUCCCCCACCGAGGGGGGAGGGGUUCAAAACUCCGCGUAAGCAUUCGCGCGACUCACCUGUGGCUGAGUCUGUGGUGGUGGCCCAGUUCAUCCCGGGUUUACCUCGCCGGCUGCCAGCUGUUCGGGGGUUCCCGGAUUACCAAAAAGAAAAAACAAGAAUUGAAACACAAGAUUUAUCUUAUAUUGCUAGUCAAGGGGUUGUGCACAUUGGCGACUGCUAUUUUGGGGUUGCUUGAGGUCGCACGACUCAGUCUAGGCCGUUCAACAGCCAGAUCCAGUCGUUGGCCGCCAAUGGCUAAACUUAAAAAAAAAAAAAAUGUAAAAACUUUUUUAACAAAAAAUUAUUAAAAGUCCUUUAUAAAUGUAAUUUUUAUCGAACGAUAUUUAAACCAAAGUGUUUUUUAAUGCACUUUAAAAUUACAAUUCACCAAACACUAUUUACAUUUUGGAAAACCCCUUUGCCCCAAAAGUGUUUGCAUUUUCCCAAGAACAUUUUCUCAAAACCAAACCAAAGGGGACCUAUAUAUACCCAGUAGCUACUCAUGGGCUUAAACCCAUAUUAUCAAUAAAAUACAAGCUUGAACUAUAAAAGCUCCCAAAUCAAGAUUAUGAAUCACGUCCCAAUGUAUAUCACGGAGAAUGUUGUUGGAGAGGCAAAACUAGCAAAAAAUUGGGAUGGAUUUGAGUGGGGCAUAGAGCGGGAGAGAAGCAAUGUGGACGGCAACGAAUACUCCAUUGGUGGACGGCGAUACUAGGACUAGUCAUUGGUGGCUGCGAUCGGCUCGGGCUAGUCAUUGGUGGCUACGAUCGGCGAGAGAGGCAUCAAACGUGAGUGAAUCGAGGGCAACGAGCUUACCCAAAAUGAAAAACAAAAUGAGUUUACUUUCAUUAACAAACUCUAAUUGGUAGUGCCUUAAACAUUUAUCCCAAAGCUUUAGUCUUUUGAAAAAAUAUCCCAAAUUAAUACCUCAUGAUAUAUUUAUCCAAAGUAAUUUCAUCUCACAGAACAUCCCAAAUCGAUAUCCCUCACCCAAAUAUAUGCUAUGUUAAAAUGCAUACAUGUCAACAUAUAUGAAUUUUCCACAUCGGAUCAAUCAUUCUUCACCUCUCAUUCAUCUUAUAGCCAUCUGCCAUUUGUGUUGAUAGGUAUGCAUUACAAAUAGAUUUUUGUUUGAAUACCAAUUUGGGGGUUUUUUUUUUGUGAGAUGAAAUUAAUUUGCAAUAAAUAUGUCAUGUGUUUACUAAUUUGAGAUUUUUUUUUAGUUGUAUUAACCCAAAAAAAAAAAAAACAGAAAAAAGCCAAAAUACCUUGUUAGACUCUUUUUCUUAAAGGACCCUUAGAAUGGACUUUUCUCAAAUUCUUCAUGAAGUGAGCUAUACCCUAUGCUCAUCACCGAUGCUAAAAUAGCUAUCGAACGAGCACUCGAUGGUCACAUGGCCAUCUCCACCAUUGGUUAGGGUUUAAUUUGUCCCAAAACUUCCAUUCCCUCAAAAUUACUCACGUGAAGUCCUAGUAAAUUGCACAAAAUAAGCCCCCCAAAUCCCGGUAAUGUGUCAUUUAAAAGCUUGUUUCAAAUAAUUUCUAAUGGUACAAAUUUUGUUCACUUUUUCAAUUCAAUGAACAACAUAUUGGGUAAAAUUGAUACGAAAAUUGGACAAAAAAGAAGAUCACAUUCAAAAGGCGCCAUAUCUACACUCACUAGGACUAAAUCAUGAUAUUUCACUAAAAGACACUCUGCCAUCCAAAUUAUCAAAUACAAUGAAUAGAAAACAAUCAAUGCUUUAAUAUAGAUGUGGCAUAUUGUUCUUCCAAAAAAAAACAAAUAUUGUCUUCUUCCUCUCUUGCUCUUUUCUCAAGUUGAAUAAUAACAUUUCGUAUGCAAAUACAAAAUAAUUAUCUCUUUUAUCCAACCAAUCUCCUUUUUCGAAGCCAUGAUAACUUGUUUUGAGGAGAGUGGUACUUAUACAUAGGGGUGAGCAAUUCCAGAUUUUGUAGAGGUUCCACCUGGGACAUAGAACCUACCCGCUAAAAUAGAUUCAUUAUAUUUUGGAACCUAAAACUUAUUCCGCAUACCUUAAAACCUGCAAUGUACCUUGUAAUAUGUUCUAAGGUCGGAUCCAAAUUCUACCCAGCUUCCACUCGUAUUAUUAAUUGAACGAUUACAGUGAAUCAUCACUUUUAAUGAUCACUACAUGCUAUUACAAUUCACUUAUCAAAACUUAUAUUUAGAUACACGAAUAAUAUGACACAUUAACAAAGUAAAAGAAUCUCAGUCGUAAAAUAGAAAUUCAGACUAGUGAUUCAAUAGACGCUGUGGAAUAAUGUAGAAUCAUACAAAGACAUAAAUAAAGAAAAAUACAAAAAUUUGUUCUAGCUUCUACCAACCAAGAAACUGGAAUCUGUUAUCAAAAUAAAUUCCUUAAUUUUUUAAACUUGAAACUUACCCUGUAUAUCUUGAAACUUAGAACUGAACAAGUUCCCACUAAUCUGGUUUUUCGGUUCCAGGAUCUACCUUAAAACCAUGCUCACCCCUACUUAUACACAUUGCAUAUUCUCUUAGAAAGAACUUCAAAGAACAUGGGUCGGGUUUAUUGAGUCCAUCGAUUUUGGGUAGACUUGACCUAAUAUCCAAUAGGCUCGGAUUUGAAAACACUAUUGCAUAGAGCAAAAGGUACCACAAUGGUGAUUAGUAGCGAUGGUACUUGUGAGCUGUUUCCAUUAGCAAGAUACAACACUAAAGAAGGGUACAUAGGACCACUUGAUAGAUUUCCUACAAUGCAGCGUCCCUUAAUAGGAUCAUGGCAUAAUUAGGACAUCAAAGGCUAGUUCCAUAUUCUCCGGCACAUGUGCAAGGGAUUUCAAAUUCCAUGAUGCACUUCCAAUCAUUUAUAUGAACAGCAAAGAGAAAAUGCCUAACUAACAUUCUCAAAUUAUAUUUCUUUCUAAAUAUCUGUCAUAAGAACUAGAAAUGCGGAACUGGCCACUGAGGUGCAAAUUACCACCAAUUCACAAGACAACAUAAAACAAGAUGUUGUUUAGGUAUCCACUAGCAGGCUUAGCAUAAAGACCUAUCUCUGAAAUGCUUGCAUGCUAUUAUGAUUGUGUCAGCAAACAAAGAGUUGAGGGUGUAACAAGAGGCAGACUAUCCAAGCAUAUCCUCCUGCCGUACGUGAGACUUAAAAAAAAAAAAAAAAACAGAAAAAAUGUGUUCGAGAGUCAAUUUGGCCUUGUUUAGUAACGCUCCAAAAAGUAUCUAAUUUUAUUUUUCUGUUCUUCGGAACAGAAAAAUAAUUCGUUUGGUAAAUUUUUUGUUCUCGAGAAUAGAUUUAGAACAAAAUCAAAAAGUAAGAACAAAAAUCAUUAAAAGAAGACUGAUAAUUCAGAUUCUUAGUGAUUUACGUUAGAACAAUAUGGAUACAUCUUAAUGGACUGCUAAGUUUUUACACUUAGCUCGGGCUCUCCCAAACCCAUACCAAUUCGCGACUUAAGGUUUAAGUUUUUUAACAUGCAAGAGAUUAUUAACUACACCUAAGUAAAAUAAAGGGAGAUUUAUUUUACUCCUACGAACCAGAGACUAUGGGUACGGGGACUUGGUUACAUUAGACUUCUCUAAUACCCUUUCGGUACCAUUUCUUUUUAAUUUUUCAAAAUUAUUUUUGCAGGCAGCUGAUUUAUUUUAACCUAAAUUACUAUCAUGCAAAUGCGGUGACCACACGGGCACUCAUCCAUUAUUUAAAACAUUCAAAUAAAUAAAUUGCAUCAUACAAAGCAAGCAAUCAUUUUUUUGGAUUUUCUUAAAAAUUGGAGUUCUUUUAUAAAAAUGCAUUUCUAAACUAAAUGACUUAAUCCUAUUAAUAUGCAAAUUCUAAUUAAAUGGGUCUAUUAUGCAAACUAAUUAUUAUGCACCUCAUGACCUAACUUCACUAAUGAACAAAUUCUGAUUAAAUAAUCCUAUUAUGCAAACUAAUUAACAUGCACCUAGUAUUUUUGGUUUUUUUAUAUUGAAAUUCAGAAUUUAUAAAUGUCCUAAUUAAUCUAUCUAAAAAGGAUGAUUUUCUAAUUUAUUCUAGGGAUUAAUUUGACUUAAACCCUAUCCUAUCUUAGAAAACUAUUUUUUUUUAAAAAGAGAUUUGAGAUGUGCGAACAUUAUCUAAAACCUUAUUUUGUAAAAAAUGUUAUUUAAUCAACCCUAACUUAUUUUUACCAAUGCAAUCCUAAAAAAGUAAUCCUAAGGAAAUUCUAAUUUAUUAAACCUACAUGUCUGAUUUACUAAACCUAUGUGCUCAUGCAGAAUUUUUUAUUUUUUAUUUUCUUAUUAUUUUUUAGUGUUUUUCCAAGACAAGCAAUUAUGAAAUAAAACUUACAUCUACACUAUCAAGAUAUUCAACAAAUAAAGAAUUAAAAUAAUCGAAAAAAUAACCUGUUGUCUCACAGGUUAAAUUAACGAUUACUCUAAUCCUAAACAUUACGACAAAAAGUUCAAGAUAAUUAAAAAUCUGAUCCGAAGUCUUACGGAUCAAAUUAAUAAUUAUAAUGAUUUAACAAUUAAAAUUCUACCAAAAUACCCAAAAAUUAAUAUAAUUAAAAAAAUAAUCCGAUGUCUCUCAGAUUAAAUUAAUAAUUAUAAUAAUUCCGGAAAAAAUCCUAGCGGAUAAUGUCUACAAUAUUCAUAAAAUGAACAAACAUCCAAUGUUUCAAUUUAAGCUAUUACAACUAAACAUGAUAAAUAAUAAUAAUAAUAAUAAUAAUAAUAAUAAACUACCUUGACUCUCUUUUUUUAAAAUAAAAAAGGGGUCAGAGCGCGGGCGCUUGGGCAGUGACGAUGCUGGUGCUCAGAGGUGCGGCAGGUGCCACGGACGGUGGCCGGCGUCGGGACUCCGGCGGGAGCAGGCGGACGGCGACAGUGAGGGGCUCGAGCUCGGAGCAGCGGCGGAGGCGGAGCUGGACCGCGGGUCGCUGGGUGGCGACGUCGGCAGCGGUGCGGGGCUCGGCUGGCGUCGGGGCGUCGCGGAUUGCUGGGCGGCGACGGCGUCGAGCUCCGGGGCAGUGGGCGUCGAUCCGGGUAGCAGGGAUCACCGGCGGAGGCGGUGCGGUGGCGCGGCGAGCAGUGGGGGCGGCGCUGGCGUCAGCGAGCGGACCAGCGAGGCGGCGGUGCGGAGGCGCGGCGGAGCUCGGAGAUCGACGGGUGCGUCGCGGGCGGAUCAGGAGUGUUGCAGUGGCGCGGCGUCGGCGAGGGCGGAAGCGCGGUCGUCGGGGCGCCCGGCGUUCGGAGGUGCGGCGAUGGAGCUGCAGAUGCGGGCGAGUCCGGCGGAGUGACAGUGACGUCGUGGGCAGAGGUGCUGUGAUCGGCGGGCAAGUGCUGCAGAUGCUCGAACAGAGGGUGGAGGCGAGCGGCGGGACGUCGUGCAGCUUUGCGGAGAAGGAACCCACGAAGAAGAAGCACAGUGCACGUCUCUUUCUUUUUUCUUUUUUUUUGGUUUCUCUCUCACCUCACGUCUACUCGCACGUAUUCCCUGCUGACUUUUGUACUUUUCUUCAGUCAAAAGGGGCAAACAGCCCCUUUGACCUGACCCAGAAAAUUGAACUCAAAAAGAAAUGAAGGAGAAAACUUCCUUACUUUUGCUUUGAAAAUUUUUCUUGAGUUCACUCUCGAUUUUUUUUUUAAAUCCACCCCUUGCUUACGAAAAAUGAAGCUCUCUUUUAUACUAAUUCCGAAUGGCUGCUUUAUAUGACAUUUUUCAAGUUUCCAUCUUCUGUCGCAUUAAAUCAGAGCUGUAAAUCAUAGCAUGAUUUCGCAAUCAGCCCGAUCCUACUCAGAUUUUUUCCAUUUUGCAAAAUUCUUGCUUCUUAUUUACUUGAUUUUUAAAUUGUUUCUGAAUGCUCAUCAGAAUUUCAAAUUUCCAUGCAUAAUCAAUCAAAUCAAUUUCCCUCAUUUUUUCAUUUUUUCCUUUUAUUUGUUCCAAUGCAAUUUUUAUUUUCUUUAUUUUCCUAGAUUUGCUAAAAAUAGGUGUCAACACAUCUCAAUUUGUGAAUCACUAAAACAAAGGAAAAAAAAAAGGAGCAAUGAAAUUACCUGAUCACAAAACGAUAUGAAGCUAGAUUUUUUAUUAAUCAAGGAAGAAAACUUCAACAUUCAUCCGCGAAAGAAAGUGACACAAGUAGAAAGGCUUCACGUGAAAAUCUGGGCUUUCUAGAUUCUAGAACUAGAACAGAGCAUGUUUGCCAAUUUCUAAGGAAUACCUAUUGACGCAUUGAAGAUAAGAAAAUUUCUUGUGAGCAUGUUUGCCAAGUAUUCAUUGAGAUAAUCGGUAACAUGAUCCAAUGAAUAAAUCUUUUGGCUAUUUCUUUAGAUAUCUCAUGUAUUUCGUGAGCAACAAUGAGUGAUCUCAAGUGAUGCAUGUGAAUGCAACAGUUUACGUAAAUUUGGGAGUACUAGUCAAGCUCAAAAUUGAAUAGUUCAAAUGUUAUGCAAGAUAGGAUGUUUAAAAAAAAAAAAACAGAAACAAGGAUUCAACGAGUAAGCAAAGGAAUCGAGAAUCUCCCUUGAUUAAGUUGUCUAGAGUUAUUGGAGUCAACAAAAGAUAACUCCGGAGAAAUAGAUGAGACAUAAAUGAGAGUACAAGAUGAAAAAGGAUGAGCAACAUAAACGACAUACAAAUGAACAUUAAGAGACAAUUGAAAUGUGAUAAAACCCUCAUUAAUUCCAAAAAAUGAAAAAAUCAGAAUUACCGAUGAUUUGUGAAAGGGAGACAAAUUUGUGUGUUCAAAUUGUACAAUUGUGUGCAACUGUUGUCCAAGUGGUAGAAAAAAGACGUUAGCCAAAGAAAAAGGACAAAUUGCAAACUAAAGAAAUAUUUUGAAUUACUUAAGCAGGUCAAAUUGCUGCGUUGUUAUCAUUCUGAAUACAAACAACUAGAAGCUUUUAAGAUUGUUUAUGCAUUGGUACCAUGGAAGAAAGGUUGAUAUGCUAAUCGUAGGAGAAAACCUAUUGGGCACAACUGUUAUAAAUAGUUAGGACUAGGGCCUAUCAAAGUACAAAGUAGGGUUGAGAAAAAAAUUGAAGGCAUAUCACAUUAUGGAUACUACUUCAAAAGUUGCAAUUAUGCUAAUGCUGUCCCUCUUGAUGUUCAAUGUUAUCAAAGGUGCCCUGCACACCGGUAUAGUUAAUAGGGCUUGCAAUAUCGGCUCCUAUUCGAGCAAUGAUCCUUACGCAAACGGCAUGGCUUACAUUCUUGAGGACAUGGUGACCGUGACACCUAGUGACGAGGACUACAACUACUCUACCACAUCUCCUUAUACCGCAGCAGCCGCCUAUGGUCACGCAACUUGUAGCCAAGCACUUUCUUACAGCAAUUGUGGCAUGUGCAUGGGCUCCGUUAAAUCCCAAAUACUGGCGAUAUGUUCAAACAGUCUUGGCACUCAAGUGAAGCUUGAACAUUGUAGAAUGAGGUAUGAAAACUACUCGUUCAACGGUUACGUAGUGUGGCACCAAAUAGAGAGAACCUUGUUCGAAUGGUAGAAUCCCCAGGACAUGCGUUGUUUAAGUUUGUUGAAAAAUAAGUUCUUUAAUCACGUAUCCUAAUUUCUGUUGUGCGUGGUUAUUUCUACUAUACAUGUUGUCAUGUUUAUUGUGGGAAAUGAUAUCAUAUAUCUUUCCUAUACUUUCUUUGUUAUUUUAAAGUUUUCUAACUUUUUUUCUUUCUAUAUGACGAGAAGACCUAAGCAAGUAGCUAAAAGCUAACGACUAUUAUGAAAAUUCGAACUUGCAUUGUGCAUCUAAGCUACACCCACAUCAUUGGGUUUGUUCCUACGAUACUUAAGAGAGAGUCUUCAAGAGACGGCAGUUGGAGACACGCACAUAAGAGGACUUGCAAGAUAGUGCAAAACCAGAAGCCUAAAUCAAUAGAAGGAAACGCUACCCAAUGGCCAAAAGAAAUGGCCACCGCCUUGCCAAAACCGCUUGUGAAUUUACCAUAUAUGUUGAACUCUAAGCACAACUCCUUGAUGAAAUUCAGAAAGAAAUAACCAUGACUUUGCCCCCAGUUUUUGCAUAAGGAUCGAUACCCAAAAUCAUUAAGGAGGUCAAGAACAUAUUUACAGCACACAAGAUAGACGCCAUGCGAGGAUCCAGUCAUUUCAAUGCAAGAAAAUAUCUCAACGCCAAGAAAAUAUCUCAACGAAGCCAAAUCAGCCAAAUAGAAACUAUGUUAAAUCAGUUACUGAUCAUACGAUAUAAGUGUAUUCAACAUAAACCAAGAUAAGUACAGAGGAUGAGCUAAUGCAUGAAACACAAAAUGGACUCAUCAGCAUAAGAUUGAAGCAAACCAGCGUCUACUAAUGCAGUAGGAGAUACUUAAGAAACCAACCUUCUUUGAAGAUUUAACGAGUCAUCAUAAAAGUGGCCUUGCUUCAGUUGCUAAGCCCAUGAGUCUGCUUUUCUAAAUCAGGAAAUGGACAAAAGAGACAGCCAAGGAGUUGAUCCUCUUGUGAUAUAUGCACAACUUCAAAUUAUUUUUCCUGACUUCAAUUGAUCAUGUCUCCCGCGGGAUCCAAUCGUGAACUUAUCUCAAAGACUGGUCUCCAAAAUGCUUGCACGCUACCAUGAUUGGGUCAGCAGACAAAGAGUAGAGGGCAUGACGAGAGGCAGAUGGUUCAGGCAAGUCCCCCUGUUGUACGUGAGAAACUUAAAAAAAAAAGAGAGAGAGAAAAAUGUGUUCCCGAGAGAGUAAUUAAAACAGAUAAAAAUGCCAAGGAAUGUACCUCCUUUGAGAGCCAACCUAUUGAUCGGCAAAGUAAUUCAAUUGCUGCAGUGGAAAAGACAACGGAAUUUACAUCAUCUGGGCCUGACUGUAAUGAAGUUGAUUGUUGUUCUCAAGACGUCUAGCAUUGGAAAUGUUUGACAAUGGCGUUCAUGUUCACGCAUCAUCAAAUGCUUUUUGGAAAAUCCCUUGCAGUGCAAAGGGUAAGAUACUUCAAGUAGCUUUCAUACACUUGCAGCCACGUUCCCCAGUCAGGAAGCCAUCCCUAUGUUAUUUGCACGUAAGAAGCUGAGCAAAUAAACCAAAUGUGUAAUCGACCUGUGGUGAUAAUCUGAGUACACAGCUCGACCCAAAUAUUCUCCACUACCGAUUCAAAUACCAUCCACUUCGAGGUAUGCCUCUUCUUUGAACUAUCUAUGGUGAAUAGGACAUUGUAAGGAUCAGAUUGUGAAAAAAGAAAGUUUAUAACAGAAAACUAGGAUCUCUCCCUCAAAGCACAUACACAAUAGGCUAAUCAGGAUUUAUGACAUAAUAUACUUCAUUACAAAGUAAAGUUAUUGCUAUUAACAUCUAUUUAAUUCAAUAUCAUCCUUAGACUGCUUAAUCAUUUGUAUGAAUUUCACCUGUUUGAAUAACAUUAGGCACCAAAAGCACUAACAGACAAGUAUACAUACCAGUUAAAUACAGAGAUUUCGUACCAAACCUACAUAUACGAGUAUCAAAAUCCACCUUCCACCCCUCCAAAUAUUUGCUGUCUUGGCGGGUUCGAUAUAGUGAACUGUCUCCCAGAUUUAAAACAACUUCAUUAAUGGGACAUGAGACUCAGUGAGAUGACGAUUGGAAGAAAACUUGGUGGUAAUCUGAUUUACUCUGCAUCACAUUUCAGAUGAAAAAGUGGACAGAUCUCAGAGACAAUGGAGAGUUCUACUAGAAAAGGAAGAAGUUCCAUCUGUCAUGAGAUAUUUGACCCACAACUCCAUCGUUGCUACAUCUGCAGAAAAACCCCUUUCAACCAUUUCACCGACAAGUUGCGCGGCUCUAGUACUUUUGUUAUUUCUUAGUAGUCCUUGGAUUAUUGUGUUAUAAGUGACCCCAUCUGGGAAGCAUCCAUUUCCUUCCAUCUCCUUUAAGAGUUGAUAUGCUUCCGCUGUACGUCCUCCUUUGCACAACCCAUGCAUGAGAAUGUUACAUGCCCACACGUUAGGUUGCAAGCCUUGAGCAUGCAAACAAUCAAACAGCCCCUUAGCAUCGUCGAGCUUUCUGGCAUUACACAUGCCAUUCAUUAUAAUAUUGUAAGUCACAAAGUUUGGGACAAAUUUGGAACCUUCCAUCUUUUGAAACAAUAUCAUGGCCUUGUCAAUCUGUUGCGUUUUACACAGGCCAUCCAGGAAAGAAUUCAAGGUAUAAUGAUCUAGAUACAGAUCGCGAGAUCGCAUCUCGCUAAUUAGCUCCUCCGCGGCUUUAAGGUUCCCAACCUGGCAAUAUCCACUUAUGAGAGUGUUGUACGUGAUGACAUCAGGAUUCAAGCCCCUUUCAAGCAUUUCUUGGAACAGUAUUUUUUAUUUGUCAACUCUUUUCCCUUUGCAGUAUCCAUUAAUCAACGUGUUAUAACAAACAACAUCAGGUGAGCAGCCUCUUUCAACCAUCAAAUUAAGAACCGCCAGAGCAUCAUCCAUCCUAUUUUGCAAACAAUAACCAUUCAACAAUGCAUUAUAAGUGACACUAUUAGGCAUUUUACCGAAUUGAAUCAUCCGGUUGAUUAUGGCCUCUGCCUUACAAGCAUUCCCUCUUUACAAUGUGCAUCUACCAGAAUAGUGAAGGUUUGAACAUCCGGCAUGACUCUGCUUUGCACCAUAUGACUCAGCAGUCUUUGGGCCUCUUUCAAUUGGCCGGAAUUGCACACUCCUUGAAUGACAGAGGUAUAAGUAACGACGUUCGGUUCAAUUCCUG
This 13318-nucleotide long non-coding RNA is filed under the name Eucalyptus grandis. RNAcentral describes it as "long non-coding RNA (EGRA_LNC000122)". Lineage: Eukaryota; Viridiplantae; Streptophyta; Magnoliopsida; Myrtales; Myrtaceae. The record is from RNAcentral.